CAGUAGCCGCGGUAAUACAGAGGGUGCAAGCGUUAAUCGGAAUUACUGGGCGUAAAGCGCGCGUAGGUGGUUUGUUAAGUUGGAUGUGAAAGCCCCGGGCUCAACCUGGGAACUGCAUCCAAAACUGGCAAGCUAGAGUACGGUAGAGGGUGGUGGAAUUUCCUGUGUAGCGGUGAAAUGCGUAGAUAUAGGAAGGAACACCAGUGGCGAAGGCGACCACCUGGACUGAUACUGACACUGAGGUGCGAAAGCGUGGGGAGCAAACAGGAUUAGAUACCCCCGUAGUCCCUGUCUCUUAUAU
RNAcentral lists this ribosomal RNA (301 nucleotides) under uncultured bacterium. RNAcentral describes it as "partial 16S ribosomal RNA". It matches the Rfam family "Bacterial small subunit ribosomal RNA", at positions 509 to 809 of the family's 1533-position model. The record is from RNAcentral.